This is a long non-coding RNA of Polypterus senegalus (gray bichir), 2333 nucleotides long. RefSeq lists it as uncharacterized. The record is from RefSeq and is a predicted model, not a curated record. NCBI's taxonomy places the organism in Eukaryota, Metazoa, Chordata, Cladistia, Polypteriformes, Polypteridae. The transcript has 4 exons.
GUUAGGAUCUAGCGGGUUGGACAAUGACUGACUGACUGCAGAAAACACUUUCCAUAUACUGUACUGAGGAUUCUUCUUUGUAAAGUAUACAUGUGUGGGUCUUCUCUAGGAAGGGAACUGCAUGUAGCUAAAAGUGUUUGGCAGAAGAAAAAACAAUCAUCAGCACUUUUACGUACUCACACAUACCCAGGAUAAGAAUGGAGUCAUCUUCUCUUCAAGACUUUCUUGGACCCUCCUGCUGCUCCUAUCCCAUAAUCCAGUCUACCUGUGGACUUCACCUCUCUUUCAAGAUUGAUGAUACCCAAAAACAGUUCAAGACUCUACAGACUUCCUUUAAACUGCAAUUGACUAGUUCUUCUUCCUCAACCCCCUUCUUUUUCAGAUUCCUUCCUGCUCCUCAACAUCUCCUGGAUUGAAUGACAUUUCCUUGCAUUUUCUUCAGUUCAUCUCUCUUUUUCUUAUUCCUUUAUCUCCUUUUAACUCUCCAUUGAGCACUUUCCUGCAGACUGCAAGCAGUCAGUUGUGAUACUCACUCUCAUGAAGAUCUGCCUCUCUUUCUUUCUGUCUCUCAUUCCUUCUGCUAUUGAGAAUUACCAUUAAUCCAGUCUAUCUUCUACAAUUUCUGUCCAAUACACUGAAACACACAGUUCAUAAUUAACUCUCCCUUUUUCAUUCUGGCAUCAACACACAAAGUUCUCCUCAGUUUAGUUUUUGCCCGGCCAUCCACUGUGGCUGUUCUACUUCCAGGCACAAAUUCAGCUAGCUAUGCUUGAAUUACAUCUCUCACCUUCGUCUUUAUGCUUCUUAACCCUUCUUCAGCUUUUGGCAGUUAACCUCAUCCUCCCUUCACCUCUCCUUUAUAAAUGUCACAGGUAUCUAAAGUCUUUCUUUUUUGAUCGGUCCUUCUAUAUAUCAUCACCAAACUCUUUACUUUUCUGAAACUCUUGAUAGGGUUGUCUCAAAGAUAGGUACUGGGCCCUCUUCUCUCCACUUGCUACAUUUAUGGUGUGAUGAUGGACAAUUAGUUGCCUUUUGUUCAAUCAACACAUUUUGUCAAUGAAGUAGUCCUGUGGUUCCUCAGUUCAUAACAUUCACAAAACACAACUGUUCUUCACUACCAAUGUCACUCAUCUUGUUUUAUCUCAGUUGAGUUACUGCAAUUCUGUUUCACUGGGGCUCCAAGAAACCAUUAUCAGACCUCUUUAGCACUUUUACAAUGUAGCUUCUCAGCUGGUGUACUCAGUUCUUUGUUUCCCCCACUCUACUCCUUUGCUUUUCUCUCUCCACUGGCUUGCAUUUGUUUUGUAGUGAGGAUCUGAUUCAAAUCUCAUGUCUUGACUAAUAGUUCCCUGCGUGGUUGUAUUCUUUAAAACUUCCAAUCUGGGAUAUCUGUAAUCUGUGCUCCAAAGUCUUCACUCUGUCCACUGACUGUCCCUUCUCCUACAAGAUGUAUCAAAACUCUGUUAUUCCUUGCAAGAUGUGGAAUGAGUUUCCCUUGACUACUGAAUUGGCUUCCAAUCUACUAAUGUUCAGGUUCCUCAUAAAGACAAACCUCUCUACAAAACAUCUUGGGACUGCUCAAACAUUUUACCGCUACUCUUUGCUCUUUCUUCCUAGAUAUCUACAAUCUUAUUAACCCAAGAGAGCAUCUAGUAACUGAUUCUGUUUUAGUCCUAUAAGAGUUUUAAUUUGUUCUUGGGAGUAAUUAUAGUACUACACUAUUUGGGCAUUAGUUUGAAUUUUAUUCUCUGUUGCUGGUGAACUUUGUACUUUUUGAUCAGUUGUUGUCUGUGUACUAUGUUUUGCUUUUGUAACUCAACUUUGAUAAAGACGUCUGCUAAAUAAAAAUAAAACAAGUAAGAUGAACUAGUUUAUUAAUUAAAACAUGCUUUAAAUGGGGAAUAAUAUUAUUAUAGAUCAUGUGUUGUAAAGAAGGAUUCAACCAUUUUGCUGCUUCCCAUUGACACCUUGAGUAUUUAAAAUAAGACUAGAAUACAGUGUGAAAGAUGAUGUUUUUUAAAAUGUAAAAACAUAGUUUGAAUGGUAAUCACGUUAUUAACAGUUGACAUAAAGGUGAGAAAAAUGGUGCCUAAUUAUAUUUGGGUGCCAUUUUUAAAGGUCUUUUUUAAUGUCAAUUUUUGAUGAAAUAGAAAAUAAUAUGAAAGAUGGAGUACAGGCAUUUUUCUACCUAAAGCCACUAUAUGGGAUGAGAGUAAAAAUAUUCACUGUUGAGGGAAUUGGUGGGUAUCAAGUUUGAUACUUAUGCUGUAUUUGCAAUUGUUUAAUAAAAUAUGCGUAUUUCCUGUUGUGUCAAACCGGAACUUGUUGAGUAC